This is a long non-coding RNA of Talpa occidentalis (Iberian mole), 1090 nucleotides long. RefSeq lists it as uncharacterized. The record is from RefSeq and is a predicted model, not a curated record. The transcript is spliced from 3 exons. NCBI's taxonomy places the organism in Eukaryota, Metazoa, Chordata, Mammalia, Eulipotyphla, Talpidae.
ACCCCGCCGGGAGGGCGGCUCCAGUUCUUAACUUGGCUUCCCAGAGGAAAUUCCCAGCUGGUGCAGCCCGGCUCUCAAAGCCCGGGGCUGGGGCGACGUGCCUGGUGCAAGGAGCCCACAAUUAGGCCGCGACCGGGAUUGAUUUAUUGCUCUGGGAUUAGAUCCUCCGUUAGAUGUUCAGCAGAGAGCUGAGGUCUGGCCAAGUCUCAGGCUAAUUUCCCUCGGCACACUCCUGACCACACUCAGAUAGCAAAGCUGCUGGACACUGGCUCUCAAGGAACGUUUCUUCAAGGACAUCCAGCUCCCCCAAGGGCACUCGGAGGAGGGAGCUCACGUGGCAGAUGAGGACGCGGGCCCGUGCAUCAUAGUGUCCUGGGGAGAGAAACCGCGUGGGGGUCAGCUCAGCGUUAAGCACAGACGUGGUUUUUGGUUGUAGUUUGAAAAUGGUUCCAUAUACUUAAGUGCUUCACCCCUAAGCAAAAAUGCAGGCUAUUUGCUUUCAGCCAUGCCAGGAUUCUUCCUACACCGUCCUAUACCUCGGAAGCUCAGCCUGGGAUGGCAGUUCCCACAGCCAGGCCUUUUUACAGAACUUACGCACAAGUUCUGUGAACAUGAGCUUCUUCACUCUAAGCAGAAGAAACAGCAUUGCAAGCACUGUGGACAGAGGUGUUAACACCGGUGUAAUUCUUAAAAUCCAAACCCUGGCAUCCAAAGUGCACAGGCCCUCGGGAACCAGUCACCCCAACAACAGCACAGCUGCCUGGAAGGAAUGCUGGACAGUCGUCUGGAGCAAGGUGACACUUCUCACCAAAUGAGUUCCUCUACCUGGACCCAGAAGAGCCCCGCCUCUAAGGGUGAGAACACAGUGAGAAUAAGGUGGCAGCUGAAGGCUACUGCAAAGUCCAGGCCCAGGAUGGAUGGGGGUUAUCCUGGAGUGGAGCCUGACUGCAAGGCUCAGCGAUGGAUCCUGUCUAGCUGUUAUGUGUCACCAAAAAAAUGUUAUUUUUGUCUGUCAUGGGAGUAGAGAGUCAUUUCACAAACAUGUCCUGAGCUCUGCAAGCACCCACAGUAGGUGUUUAACCAAUGUUGA